UACGGAGGGAGCUAGCGUUGUUCGGAAUUACUGGGCGUAAAGCGCACGUAGGCGGCUUUGUAAGUUAGAGGUGAAAGCCCGGGGCUCAACUCCGGAACUGCCUUUAAGACUGCAUCGCUCGAAUCCAGGAGAGGUGAGUGGAAUUCCCGAGUGUAGAGGUGAAAUUCGUAGAUAUUCGGAAGAACACCAGUGGCGAAGCGGCUCACUGGACUGGUAUUGACGCUGAGGUGCGAAAGCGUGGGGAGCAAACAGG
RNAcentral lists this ribosomal RNA (253 nucleotides) under uncultured bacterium. Its description in RNAcentral is "partial 16S ribosomal RNA". It matches the Rfam family "Bacterial small subunit ribosomal RNA", at positions 524 to 776 of the family's 1533-position model. The record is from RNAcentral.